CCUACGGGUGGCAGCAGUGAGGAAUAUUGGUCAAUGGCCGGAAGGCUUAACCAGCCAUGCCGCGUGAAGGUCAGUGCCCUAUGGGCGGUAAACUUCUUUUGUACGGGAGCAAGAAUGGUCACGUGUGGCCAGACGAGAGUACCGUACGAAUAAGCAUCAGCUAAGUCCGUGCAAGCAGCAGCGGUGAUACGGGGGAUGCAAGGGUGAUCCGGAUUUAUUGGGUUUAAAGGGUGAGUAGGCGGAGGGGUAAGUCAGCGGUGAAAGGCCCCCGCUCAACGGGGUGAAGUGCCAUUGAUACUGCCUUGCUGGAAUGCGGAUGCCGUGGGAGGAAUG
RNAcentral lists this ribosomal RNA (333 nucleotides) under uncultured bacterium. Its description in RNAcentral is "partial 16S ribosomal RNA". It matches the Rfam family "Bacterial small subunit ribosomal RNA", at positions 338 to 668 of the family's 1533-position model. The record is from RNAcentral.